Non-coding RNA from Podarcis lilfordi (Lilford's wall lizard), 73 nucleotides. The record is from the annotation of a GenBank genome assembly. NCBI's taxonomy places the organism in Eukaryota, Metazoa, Chordata, Lepidosauria, Squamata, Lacertidae.
AGGAUUGUAGCUCAGAGGCAGAGAAUCUGCUUUGCAUGUAGAAGGUAUUGGGUUCAAAUCCCUGGCAUCUCUU